AUGAACGCUAGCGGCAGGCCUAACACAUGCAAGUCGAGGGGUAACAUAGAUUGCUUGCAAUCUGAUGACGACCGGCGCACGGGUGCGUAACGCGUAUACAAUCUGCCUUUUGCUGAGGGAUAGCCCAGAGAAAUUUGGAUUAAGACCUCAUGGUAUGUUUUAAUGGCAUCAUUAAGACAUUAAAGGUUACGGCAAAAGAUGAGUAUGCGUCCUAUUAGUUAGUUGGUGUGGUAACGGCACACCAAGACAACGAUAGGUAGGGGCCCUGAGAGGGGGAUCCCCACACUGGUACUGAGACACGGACCAGACUCCUACGGGAGGCAGCAGUGAGGAAUAUUGGACAAUGGGCGAGAGCCUGAUCCAGCCAUGCCGCGUGCAGGAAGACUGCCCUAUGGGUUGUAAACUGCUUUUACAGAGGAAGAACCACCCCCACGUGUGGGGGUUUGACGGUACUCUGCGAAUAAGGAUCGGCUAACUCCGUG
RNAcentral lists this ribosomal RNA (482 nucleotides) under uncultured bacterium. RNAcentral describes it as "bacterial SSU rRNA". It matches the Rfam family "Bacterial small subunit ribosomal RNA", at positions 29 to 507 of the family's 1533-position model. The record is from RNAcentral.